Molecule: transfer RNA, 75 nt
Filed under: Paenibacillus allorhizosphaerae
Lineage: Bacteria; Bacillati; Bacillota; Bacilli; Caryophanales; Paenibacillaceae
Description: Paenibacillus sp. JJ-447 tRNA-Gln
Rfam family: tRNA
About the family: Transfer RNA (tRNA) molecules are approximately 80 nucleotides in length. Their secondary structure includes four short double-helical elements and three loops (D, anti-codon, and T loops).
Source: RNAcentral
UGCCUCUUAGCCAAGUUGGUAAGGCAGCGGUCUUUGAAGCCGCGAUCCCAGGUUCGAGCCCUGGAGGGGCAGCCA